This 728-nucleotide ribosomal RNA is filed under the name uncultured bacterium. RNAcentral describes it as "bacterial SSU rRNA". It matches the Rfam family "Bacterial small subunit ribosomal RNA", at positions 1 to 711 of the family's 1533-position model. The record is from RNAcentral.
GAUUGAGUUUGAUCCUGGCUCAGAAUCAACGCUGGCGGCGUGCCUCAGACAUGCAAGUCGAACGCGAAAGGCCCCUUCGGGGGCCGAGUAGAGUGGCGCACGGGUGAGUAACACGUGGGUAAUUUGCCUUCGGGUGGGGAAUAACAGCCGGAAACGGCUGCUAAUACCGCAUAAUGCAGCGGCAUCUAUGAUGACAGUUGUUAAAGCGGGGGAUUCGCAAGAACCUCGCGCCUGGAGAGAGGCCCGCGGCGGAUUAGCUAGUUGGUAGGGUAAUGGCCUACCAAGGCGACGAUCCGUAGCCGGCCUGAGAGGGCGGUCGGCCACACUGACACUGACAUACGGGUCAGACUCCUACGGGAGGCAGCAGUCGGGAAUUUUGGGCAAUGGGCGCAAGCCUGACCCAGCAACGCCGCGUGAAGGAUGAAGUUUUUCGGAAUGUAAACUUCACAAGAAUGGGAAGAAUAAGUCCUGGCUAACAUCCAGGACGAUGACGGUACCAUUUGUAAGCUCCGGCUAACUCCGUGCCAGCAGCCGCGGUAAUACGGGGGGAGCAAGCGUUGUUCGGAUUUACUGGGCGUAAAGGGCGCGUAGGCGGCGCGACAAGUCACUUGUGAAAUCUCCGGGCUCAACUCGGAACGGCCAAGUGAUACUGCCGUGCUAGAGUGCGGAAGGGGCAACUGGAAUUCUCGGUGUAGCGGUGAAAUGCGUAGAUAUCSAGAGGAACACCC